This 104-nucleotide small nuclear RNA is filed under the name Neotoma lepida (desert woodrat). Lineage: Eukaryota; Metazoa; Chordata; Mammalia; Rodentia; Cricetidae. The record is from RNAcentral.
GUGCUUGCUUCAGUAGCACAUGUACUAAAAUUGGAAUGAUACAGAGAUUAGCAUAGCCCCUAAACAAGGAUGGCAGGUACUUUCAUGAAGCACNCCAUUAAAUA